AUCGUUGUGUAGCACAACGCUGUUUGUUUCCACGAGUCGCGUUACGAUCGUGGGAGAUUGAUGUUCGCGCAGUAGACACGUUUUUCAAAGGCAUACAGUGUUCGUGGGCAAAAUGUGUUCAGUGUGUGAUAUCGUGUACCUCGUAUCCCCUAAAAAUAAAUCAAAGACGGUGUCUCGUCUAACCAUGAUCGUGUUAUAAUUUACCUAGGAGAUCUAUGACCGCUGGAUUAUUAUUCGCAGCUAUGUUCAACUUCUACACGCGAUAAGCCCGCGUGGCACAAAUUGAUACCAAAACCAAAUGUUCCUUGUACACUUUUCAACUCGUGAUAGUAAUAGUUAAUUAACGACAAUACACGUGUACAUUUUAGAUGUUAGAAACUUCGAAAAUACUUCUAGGAGAACCUGUUACGACUUCGAAUCCAUGUUCCAAAGAUAGUGUACAAAGUGAUAAGUAAAAAUCAGGAUCAGAAGGAUGGCUCGUCACGGCAGCGAAAGGUCCUUGCAUUCGCCUCAAUCGAUGCAUCCCGACUCCUCGGGUCGCGUGAGCAGCCCGAACACAACUGCUAUCACGGAAUUGACACCUUUAGAAUCAGCAACAUGUACUGACAACAGUACGAUGAAGGUCAAUGUCAACAGCGUGGUUUGCACGACAGGAAGUGUCUCGGGUACCGUACCGUCUCCCUCGAUAUCCUCGACAUCCUCUUCCUGCGAUUCCCGUAUUCCACGUCCCUCGCCUACAGGUCUGCGUCGUUCGGUCAGUAUGCGCAUGCGCGGUGAACGAAUUUCACCUAACCAACCACCACCACUACCACCCAGUACCGCGGCGACCGCGGCCCUGAACAGGCACGGUUACUCUUGUCGUCGUUCUAAUCAUUUGCAACACCAUCAUCUGGACCAUCGUACCUUUCCAGUCAUCACGGAGAAUGGAACUGAAUCACCUCGACAACGAUCUCUUAGCCUUUCAUUGACCCCGGCGAGGCCGCGACCUGGAUACGCGGCCUCUGGAGGAUCAAGCACUGGAAUUGCCGACGACAGUGAUGCGGAUAGCGUAAAAAGUUAUGGAAGUGCCUGCAGCACCGCAAGCGCCUGUGAUCAUGCCACCUUCGCCCUCAAUGGUACCACAUGGUCAGGUAGAUCACGAAAGUAUGUUGUUCAUUGUUCGAAUCACACCGGUGACAAUGAACAAUACCUCACUCCUACGCAAAGGGCAGCUAGACAAGUUAGGAAAUUUCAGGCGUUACUAAAAGAAGCUAGAAAGGAGAUCGAAGAGAAGGAUCAGGAAAUCUUUCGGCUAACUAAAGAAGUGGUGGAGUUAAGAUUGUAUAAAGCUUCACUGAACAGUCCAGAUGAGAGGACGGACAGCAGCGAUGCUCUCACCGUACGAGAAAAUAAUCCUUUCUCGCCAGAAUCACCUAGCAAGGAUUUACCGGAUGAAGGUGCACUGCAAAAGGUUGCGAGUCCAGAUACACCCGAGAAACGCGUCCAUUCCGAUUUACCUUCCUCUCUGGCGGACUCGGGUCAUUUUGAGGAUGGUUCCGUCCACUCGAAGGAUUCUGUGUUUUUACCAGAAGCGCAACCGGAAACUAGCCAGGUUACUACAACGCCCGUCAAAGUUCCAGAAGACGACACGUCCGAAACGUUCAAAUCAGCCACAGAAACGCCGGAAAGAGACGAAGAGAGACGCAAACUGGUGAACCUUUAUGAAAGCAGAAUCGAGGAAAUGCAUCGCAGACAUGUUGAUGAACUGCAGGAACUGAAGCAAAAGCAUAAUGAUAAGGUGGAAAGUUUACUGAAUCAAUUGGCUGAAAUAAACACACGUUAUUGCGAAGUGAGACCUUCUGUUGAUACCGCAGAAGCUCGAGCGCGUGAACUGGAGGCGGAAUUAGAGGCUGUGAAAGCGGAACUCGCUGAACAAAAGACUUUGUUAAGUGAACAAGAAGAAAGAAACAAACAAAUGUACCUGAAAAUGUAUGCCAAAGGUCAGGAGGCUGCACGUAUAGAACAAGCUGAUCAGAUACUUGAGCAUGCUCAUCAAACACCACCAAAGGUUACCGUUGCAGAACUACUUCAACAAUUAACAGUUACACAAGCAGAAUUAGAAAAUAUCAAGGACACAAGCUACUCGCCUGAACCUCACAUUUCAGCCGAUCGUAGCCACAGUUUAUUAAGUGCUCAGGAGGCUGUUUCUCUCUGGGUCCUUGGCACACGUAAGAUAGCGAACAUAGGUAAAUCAUAGUGGCAAGAAUUGGCUUCACGUGCUCUCAUUUAUGAGUUACAUAUAUUAUGACAAGGUUUUUCUAAGAGAAUGUAUUAAUAUUAAACGCUUUGCCACAGUGACUGCAUGUCAAUUACUAAACACAAAUGUAGUUGGUUUGUUCUAUUAUGCAGUAUUAUUAGGUUCAAAAAGACUUCUAUGUGCGCUUGGAAGAAACAGCCUCUUAUUUAUUAUUCUUCAGUUAAUGCAAUGUAUCGACGCAUCGUAGAAGCAAGAAGUAAUCAAGGUGCCCUUGAUCCAGAGAUAACUUUACAGUUCCUAAAAUCAGCUAUCUAUU
Molecule: unclassified non-coding RNA, 2552 nt
Filed under: Megachile rotundata (alfalfa leafcutting bee)
Lineage: Eukaryota; Metazoa; Arthropoda; Insecta; Hymenoptera; Megachilidae
Description: endochitinase A, transcript variant X2
Source: RNAcentral